AGAUUGAACGCUGGCGGAAUGCUUUACACAUGCAAGUCGAGCGGCAGCGCGGGGGCAACCCUGGCGGCGAGCGGCGAACGGGUGAGUAGUACAUCGGAACGUGUCCUGGAGUGGGGGAUAGCUCGGCGAAAGCCGGAUUAAUACCGCAUAAGCUCUAAGGAGGAAAGCGGGGGAUUCGCAAGGACCUCGCGCUGUUGGAGCGGCCGAUGUCGGAUUAGCUAGUUGGUGGGGUAAAGGCCCACCAAGGCGACGAUCCGUAGCUGGUCUGAGGGAUGAUCAGCCACACUGGAACUGAGACACGGUCCAGACUCCUACGGGAGGCAGCAGGUGGGAAUUUUGGACAAGUGGGGACAACCUGAUACCAGCCAUCCGCGUGA
RNAcentral lists this ribosomal RNA (377 nucleotides) under uncultured soil bacterium. Its description in RNAcentral is "bacterial SSU rRNA". It matches the Rfam family "Bacterial small subunit ribosomal RNA", at positions 26 to 404 of the family's 1533-position model. The record is from RNAcentral.